UACGGAAGGCAGCAGUGGGGAAUAUUGCACAAUGGGCGAAAGCCUGAUGCAGCUAUGCCGCGUGUAUGAAGAAGGCCUUAGGGUUGUAAAGUACUUUCAUCGGGGAGGAAAAACAAAACUAAUAAUUUUAUUUCUUGACGUUACCCGAAAAAGAAGCACCGGCUAACUCCGUGCCAGCAGCCGCGGUAAUACGGAGGGUGCUAGCGUUAAUCAGAAUUACUGGGCGUAAAAGAGCACGUAGGUGGUUUUUUUAAGUCAGAUGUGAAAUCCCUGGGCUUAACCUAGGAACUGCAUUUUGAAACUGAAAUACUAGAGUAUCGUAGAGGGAGGUAGAAUUCUAGGUGUAGCGGUGAAAUGCGUAGAUAUCUGGAGGAAUACCUGUGGCGAAAGCGGCCUCCUAAACGAAUACUGACACUGAGGUGCGAAAGCGUGGGGAGCAAACAGGGAUUAGAUACC
Molecule: ribosomal RNA, 456 nt
Filed under: uncultured bacterium
Lineage: Bacteria
Description: bacterial SSU rRNA
Rfam family: Bacterial small subunit ribosomal RNA
Source: RNAcentral